GAGCACCCAACUCGGAUAACCAAACCUGUCUGGUUCCAAAAGAAAAAGGGGGGGGAAAGUCUCUUCCCACAGAGGCCGCGUGGUGCCCGCGUAGCGGCAGCCUAGGCGGUUACUGAGAAACUUCAACUGGCACCUUUACCUGGGCCGCUUCUCCUGGCAGUCAGUCGGCUCAUCCGAAUCCCACCGGGUCCGGGAGGUGGAAAGGGAAAAAGCUGGCGCGGCAGCAGCGGGGCUCCCGGGGCAUGGUAUUGUUUUAGGGGUCGCCGCCGAGAUCCCUCCUGCCCAUCGUUGAGAACAGCCGCCCUGGUUCCGGGGUUCAGUGAUCGCGGCGGCGGCGGCGGAGCUGCAACCUGCGGGUUGCUCGACACCCGGGGACGCAGAGCGAGAGCGCGCCGGGGCGGGAGAAGCGCCUUAGCGCCGAGAUCGCGACGGCAGAUGUUACCUCCGGGAGCCCUUUCCUCCACGGUGACAAUGGAAGAUGCCAAACUCACAAGUGACGGCGACAGGUUUCGAAAGUACAACUGCCAGCUUCGACUAAAUGCUUGGACUCCCAAGAAGUAAACCGGCGGCUAGUCACUUCGCAGACGUGGAAUGAAAGCUGAGACAGGAAAAGACUGAGGGCAGAGUGCCUCUGCUGUCACCGUCAUGCCCAAAUGAGCUGAAACGUCCCGCCCUGGGCGCAAACUCAAAUCCACACACUCGGACACUUUCAAUACACUCCUUCUUUGCCCGACUCCAUUCCGGACUAAAGAAAGAAAAAAAGAAUUAGU
RNAcentral lists this long non-coding RNA (770 nucleotides) under Dasypus novemcinctus (nine-banded armadillo). RNAcentral describes it as "lncRNA (ENSDNOG00000052371.1)". Lineage: Eukaryota; Metazoa; Chordata; Mammalia; Cingulata; Dasypodidae. The record is from RNAcentral.